GUUAUAGGGUCAAGCGAACAAGUGCAUGUGGUGGAUGCCUUGGCGAUCACAGGCGAUGAAGGACGCGGUAGCCUGCGAAAAGCUACGGGGAGCUGGCAAACGAGCUUUGAUCCGUAGAUGUCCGAAUGGGGAAACCCGGCCCUUUUGGGUCAUCCUAGACUGAAUACAUAGGUCUAGUGAAGCGAACGCGGUGAACUGAAACAUCUAAGUAACCGCAGGAAAAGAAAUCAACCGAGAUUCCCAAAGUAGUGGCGAGCGAAAUGGGAAGAGCCUGUACUCUUUAUUUGUAUUGUUAGCCGAACGCUCUGGAAAGUGCGGCCAUAGCAGGUGAUAGCCCUGUAGGCGAAAAACAGUAUGAAAGAACUAGGUGUACGACAAGUAGGGCGGGACACGUGAAAUCCUGUCUGAAGAUGGGGGGACCAUCCUCCAAGGCUAAAUACUCGUGAUCGACCGAUAGUGAACCAGUACCGUGAGGGAAAGGCGAAAAGAACCCCGGGAGGGGAGUGAAAUAGAUCCUGAAACCGCAUGCAUACAAACAGUCGGAGCCUCUUCGGGGGUGACGGCGUACCUUUUGUAUAAUGGGUCAGCGACUUACGUUCAGUAGCAAGCUUAACCGAAUAGGGCAGGCGUAGCGAAAGCGAGUCCGAAUAGGGCGUUCAGUUGCUGGGCGUAGACCCGAAACCAGGUGAUCUAUCCAUGGCCAGGAUGAAGGUGCGGUAACACGUACUGGAGGUCCGAACCCACUAACGUUGAAAAGUUAGGGGAUGAGCUGUGGAUAGGGGUGAAAGGCUAAACAAACCUGGAAAUAGCUGGUUCUCUCCGAAAACUAUUUAGGUAGUGCCUCGUGUCUCACCUUCGGGGGUAGAGCACUGUCAUGGUUGGGGGGUCUAUUGCAGAUUACCCCGCCAUAGCAAACUCCGAAUACCGAAGAGUGCAAUCACGGGAGACAGACAUCGGGUGCUAACGUCCGGUGUCAAGAGGGAAACAACCCAGACCGCCAGCUAAGGUCCCCAAAUAUGGCUAAGUGGGAAACGAAGUGGGAAGGCUAAAACAGUCAGGAGGUUGGCUUAGAAGCAGCCACCCUUUAAAGAAAGCGUAAUAGCUCACUGAUCGAGUCGUCCUGCGCGGAAGAUGUAACGGGGCUAAGCCAUAUACCGAAGCUGCGGAUGCGAGCUAGUCUCGCAUGGUAGGAGAGCGUUCCGUAAGCCUGCGAAGGUGCGUUGAAAAGCGUGCUGGAGGUAUCGGAAGUGCGAAUGCUGACAUGAGUAGCGAUAAAGGGGGUGAAAGGCCCCCUCGCCGUAAGCCCAAGGUUUCCUACGCAACGUUCAUCGGCGUAGGGUGAGUCGGCCCCUAAGGCGAGGCAGAAAUGCGUAGCUGAUGGGAAGCAGGUCAAUAUUCCUGCACCAUUGUUAGAUGCGAUGGGGGGACGGAUCGCGGAAGGUUGUCCGGGUGUUGGAAGUCCCGGUCGCUGCAUUGGAGAAGGCGCUUAGGCAAAUCCGGGCGCAGGAUUCAAGGGUGUGGCGCGAGCUCCUUCGGG
RNAcentral lists this ribosomal RNA (1537 nucleotides) under Burkholderia pseudomallei. RNAcentral's name for it is "bacterial LSU rRNA". It matches the Rfam family "Bacterial large subunit ribosomal RNA", at positions 1 to 1583 of the family's 2925-position model. The record is from RNAcentral. Lineage: Bacteria; Pseudomonadati; Pseudomonadota; Betaproteobacteria; Burkholderiales; Burkholderiaceae.